AUUGAACGCUGGCGGCAGGCCUAACACAUGCAAGUCGAACGAGUGGCGGACGGGUGAGUAAUGUCUGGGAAACUGCCUGAUGGAGGGGGAUAACUACUGGAAACGGUAUCUAAUACCGCAUACCAUCGGAUGUGCCCAGAUGGGAUUAGCUAGUAUGUUGGGUAAAGGCUCACCUAGGCGACGAUCCCUAGCUGGUCUGAGAGUAUGACCAGCCACCUGGGAACUGAGACACGGUCCAGACUGCUACGUGAGGCAGCGGUGGGGAAUAUUGCACAAUGGGCGCAAGUCUGAUGCAGCCAGGCCGAGUGUAUGAAGAAGGACUUCGGGUUGUAAAGUACUUUCAGCGGGGAGGCGUUACCCGCAGAAGAAGCACCGGCUAACUCCGUGCCAGCCGCCGCGGUAAUAC
This 406-nucleotide ribosomal RNA is filed under the name uncultured bacterium. RNAcentral describes it as "partial 16S ribosomal RNA". It matches the Rfam family "Bacterial small subunit ribosomal RNA", at positions 30 to 526 of the family's 1533-position model. The record is from RNAcentral.